Molecule: non-coding RNA, 71 nt
Organism: Hypomesus transpacificus
Lineage: Eukaryota; Metazoa; Chordata; Actinopteri; Osmeriformes; Osmeridae
Source: the annotation of a RefSeq genome assembly
GCACCAGUAGUGUAAUGGUAUCAUACAAGAUUCCCAUUCUUGUGGUCUGGGUUCAAUUCCUGGCUGGUGCA